This 207-nucleotide ribosomal RNA is filed under the name uncultured bacterium. Its description in RNAcentral is "partial 16S ribosomal RNA". It matches the Rfam family "Bacterial small subunit ribosomal RNA", at positions 568 to 774 of the family's 1533-position model. The record is from RNAcentral.
CACGUAGGCGGCAUGACAAGUCAAAGGUGAAAGCCCUCGGCUCAACCGAGGAACUGCCUUUGAAACUGUUUUGCUUGAGUCCGGGAGGGGGGAGCGGAAUUCCCAGAGUAGCGGUGAAAUGCGUAGAUACUGGGAGGAACACCGGUGGCGAAGGCGGCUCCCUGGACCGGUACUGACGCUGAGGUGCGAAAGCAUGGGUAGCAAACA